CUCUAGCGAGACUGCCGGUAAUAACCGGAGGAAGUGGGGAUGACGUCAAAUCAUCAUGCCCCUUAUGACCUGGGCUACACACGUGCUACAAUGGUUGGUACAACGAGUUGCGAGUCGGUGACGGCGAGCUAAAUCUCUUAAAGCCAAUCUCAGUUCGGAUUGUAGGCUGCAACUCGCCUACAUGAAGUCGGAAUCGCUAGUAAUCGCGGAUCAGCACGCCGCGGUGAAUACGUUCCCGGGCCUU
RNAcentral lists this ribosomal RNA (244 nucleotides) under uncultured Streptococcus sp. RNAcentral describes it as "partial 16S ribosomal RNA". It matches the Rfam family "Bacterial small subunit ribosomal RNA", at positions 1138 to 1382 of the family's 1533-position model. Lineage: Bacteria; Bacillati; Bacillota; Bacilli; Lactobacillales; Streptococcaceae. The record is from RNAcentral.